RNAcentral lists this ribosomal RNA (465 nucleotides) under uncultured bacterium. RNAcentral describes it as "partial 16S ribosomal RNA". It matches the Rfam family "Bacterial small subunit ribosomal RNA", at positions 29 to 505 of the family's 1533-position model. The record is from RNAcentral.
ACGAACGCUGGCGGCGUGCUUAACACAUGCAAGUCGAACGGAAAGGCCCUGCUUUUGUGGGGUGCUCGAGUGGCGAACGGGUGAGUAACACGUGAGUAACCUGCCCUUGACUUUGGGAUAACUUCAGGAAACUGGGGCUAAUACCGGAUAGGAGCUCCUGCUGCAUGGUGGGGGUUGGAAAGUUUCGGCGGUUGGGGAUGGACUCGCGGCUUAUCAGCUUGUUGGUGGGGUAGUGGCUUACCAAGGCUUUGACGGGUAGCCGGCCUGAGAGGGUGACCGGCCACAUUGGGACUGAGAGCCGGCCCAGACGCCUACGGGAGGAAGCGGUGGGGAAUAUUGCACAAUGGGCGGAAGCCGGAUGCAGCAACGCCGGGUGCGGGAUGACGGCCUUCGGGUUGAAAACCGCUUUCGCCUGUGACGAAGCGUGAGUGACGGUAAUGGGUAAAGAAGCACCGGCUAACUACG